UAAGUUUCCAUUUAACCAAUCCAAUGGAUGUUGUGGGAACAAAACUAAAAAAUUUAACAAAUGAAGCAGCAAUUUGAGAUAUUUGUAGUGUUGUAUUUAACACACAACUCACACUCAUCUAUAUUUGCAUUCUGUUUUAUCCUCCCAAGGCGAGAAGGAAAGGUUUAUUUGGCGAGUCAGGUUGUCUGCUGUUUUGUGGAGCCUUUGGAGAAAGAGGAACGACGAAAUCAUCAUAGCACUGAGAGAACUUUGAGUGAUAUUUGGUCCUUUUUAAGAAAGUUUAGUGCUUCAGUUAUUCAUCCAAAAGAACAAAUACCACUCACAUCAUGCACACACACACUCAGUUCAGGGUAAGUACCUAGCAAGCACAAGUACUUCGGCAUUAACAGCAUGGAGUCGAGAAUUAGCGUACGCAGCAGCUGAUUUGAGCAGCUUCAGCUUCCAAAGAAGAGUAUCCUUCGGUAUAAUGCUAGCCAAAUCCUGAAAGUAGAAUGGACGAGAAGAGAUUUCAACUCAAAUUUCUUUUUCAGGCAUUUUCAACUUUAUUUCAACUCAAUUAGUCAACCAUGUACAAAAAUUACAAUGCCUAAGAUAUAAUAAGUUAAUUUAGAGUA
Long non-coding RNA from Cucumis melo (muskmelon), 614 nucleotides. RefSeq lists it as uncharacterized. Lineage: Eukaryota; Viridiplantae; Streptophyta; Magnoliopsida; Cucurbitales; Cucurbitaceae. The transcript is spliced from 2 exons. The record is from RefSeq and is a predicted model, not a curated record.